This 32-nucleotide non-coding RNA is filed under the name Mus musculus (house mouse). Lineage: Eukaryota; Metazoa; Chordata; Mammalia; Rodentia; Muridae. The record is from RNAcentral.
UGAAACAACAGGUAAAGCUUACUGGAAGCCCU